Molecule: ribosomal RNA, 1424 nt
Filed under: Klebsiella quasipneumoniae
Lineage: Bacteria; Pseudomonadati; Pseudomonadota; Gammaproteobacteria; Enterobacterales; Enterobacteriaceae
Description: bacterial SSU rRNA
Rfam family: Bacterial small subunit ribosomal RNA
Source: RNAcentral
AGCUACACAUGCAGUCGAGCGGUAGCACAGAGAGCUUGCUCUCGGGUGACGAGCGGCGGACGGGUGAGUAAUGUCUGGGAAACUGCCUGAUGGAGGGGGAUAACUACUGGAAACGGUAGCUAAUACCGCAUAACGUCGCAAGACCAAAGUGGGGGACCUUCGGGCCUCAUGCCAUCAGAUGUGCCCAGAUGGGAUUAGCUAGUAGGUGGGGUAACGGCUCACCUAGGCGACGAUCCCUAGCUGGUCUGAGAGGAUGACCAGCCACACUGGAACUGAGACACGGUCCAGACUCCUACGGGAGGCAGCAGUGGGGAAUAUUGCACAAUGGGCGCAAGCCUGAUGCAGCCAUGCCGCGUGUAUGAAGAAGGCCUUCGGGUUGUAAAGUACUUUCAGCGGGGAGGAAGGCGAUAAGGUUAAUAACCUUGUCGAUUGACGUUACCCGCAGAAGAAGCACCGGCUAACUCCGUGCCAGCAGCCGCGGUAAUACGGAGGGUGCAAGCGUUAAUCGGAAUUACUGGGCGUAAAGCGCACGCAGGCGGUCUGUCAAGUCGGAUGUGAAAUCCCCGGGCUCAACCUGGGAACUGCAUUCGAAACUGGCAGGCUAGAGUCUUGUAGAGGGGGGGUAGAAUUCCAGGUGUAGCGGUGAAAUGCGUAGAGAUCUGGAGGAAUACCGGUGGCGAAAGGCGGCCCCCUGGACAAAGACUGACGCUCAGGUGCGAAAGCGUGGGGAGCAAACAGGAUUAGAUACCCUGGUAGUCCACGCCGUAAACGAUGUCGAUUUGGAGGUUGUGCCCUUGAGGCGUGGCUUCCGGAGCUAACGCGUUAAAUCGACCGCCUGGGGAGUACGGCCGCAAGGUUAAAACUCAAAUGAAUUGACGGGGGCCCGCACAAGCGGUGGAGCAUGUGGUUUAAUUCGAUGCAACGCGAAGAACCUUACCUGGUCUUGACAUCCACAGAACUUAGCAGAGAUGCUUUGGUGCCUUCGGGAACUGUGAGACAGGUGCUGCAUGGCUGUCGUCAGCUCGUGUUGUGAAAUGUUGGGUUAAGUCCCGCAACGAGCGCAACCCUUAUCCUUUGUUGCCAGCGGUUCGGCCGGGAACUCAAAGGAGACUGCCAGUGAUAAACUGGAGGAAGGUGGGGAUGACGUCAAGUCAUCAUGGCCCUUACGACCAGGGCUACACACGUGCUACAAUGGCAUAUACAAAGAGAAGCGACCUCGCGAGAGCAAGCGGACCUCAUAAAGUAUGUCGUAGUCCGGAUUGGAGUCUGCAACUCGACUCCAUGAAGUCGGAAUCGCUAGUAAUCGUAGAUCAGAAUGCUACGGUGAAUACGUUCCCGGGCCUUGUACACACCGCCCGUCACACCAUGGGAGUGGGUUGCAAAAGAAGUAGGUAGCUUAACCUUCGGGAGGGCGCUUACCACUU